This 253-nucleotide ribosomal RNA is filed under the name uncultured bacterium. Its description in RNAcentral is "partial 16S ribosomal RNA". It matches the Rfam family "Bacterial small subunit ribosomal RNA", at positions 524 to 776 of the family's 1533-position model. The record is from RNAcentral.
GACGAACCGUGCGAACGUUAUUCGGAAUCACUGGGCUUAAAGGGCGCGUAGGCGGGUCACCAAGUCCGGGGUGAAAUCCCACGGCCCAACCGUGGAAGUGCCUUGGAUACUGGAGACCUCGAGGGGGAUAGGGGCGUGCGGAACUCAGGGUGGAGCGGUGAAAUGCGUAGAUAUCCUGAGGAACACCGGUGGCGAAAGCGGCGCGCUGGAUCCCUUCUGACGCUGAGGCGCGAAAGCCAGGGGAGCAAACAGG